This 468-nucleotide ribosomal RNA is filed under the name uncultured bacterium. Its description in RNAcentral is "partial 16S ribosomal RNA". The stretch from base 48 to 468 matches the Rfam family "Bacterial small subunit ribosomal RNA", at positions 38 to 507 of the family's 1533-position model. The record is from RNAcentral.
GGGGGGGGGGGGGGGGGGGGGGGGGGGGGGGGGGGGGGGGGGGGGGGGGCUGCGGGUGUGGGGGGCGCGGGGGGCGAACGGGUGAGUAACACGUGAGUACCCUGCCCCUGACUUUGGGAUCACUUCGGGAAACUGGGUCUAAUCCCGGAUAGGCGCUCCUGCUGCAUGGUGGGGGCUGGAAAGUUUCGGCGGUUGGGUAUGGACUCGCGGCUUGUCAGCUGGUUGCUGGGGAAGUGGCUUACCAAGGCUUUGACGGGUAGCCGGCCUGAGAGGGUGACCGGACACAUUGGGAGUGAGAUACGGCCCAGACUCCUACGGGAGGCAGCAGUGGGGAAUAUUGCACAAUGGGCGGAAGCCUGAUGCAGCAACGCCGCGUGCGGGAUGACGGCCUUCGGGUUGUAAACCGCUUUCGCCUGUGACGAAGCGUGAGUGACGGUAAUGGGUAAAGAAGCACCGGCUAACUACGUG